GUCAGAACUAGUUUUUAGUUACGAUGAUAACCUUCCACCGUGAUUUUAACCAAAUGCCAAGCUGCCAGAGAACUAGGAAGAGAAGGAGUGAUUGAUAGAACUUUUAUCAGUCAAUUCGUGUGCUUGUUGCAGUACGAUGGUGACUUCAAUACAAGCAAGAUUUCUACACCAGGUACUCAAUCAACUCGCAUGUUCGGCGUCUUUCAGAUCAGAAGAUGACAUGAUUUGUGCCCAAACCAUUUUCAAAACAGAAGGAUUGAAAUAUUAGAAGAACUGGCAAAAUAUGUGUAAAAACAAGCAGUACAAUAUAUCAAAAUGCAAAUUUACGAUUAAUUCUGGCGAGAAGGAAGAUUAUGGAAAAGUUGAGGAAGACGACUUCGAUGUGAUCCAAGAAGAUAAUAUCGACGCGUUUGAUCAAAUGGUAAUAAAGUUUAGAAAGGCAAAUAUCAAAAUAUGAUUUUUUACAAAAUAAACACUAUUUUCUUUGUUAUUAAUUUUGAACAUAUACAUUUUAUCUGUGAAU
Phymastichus coffea is the source of this 523-nucleotide long non-coding RNA. RefSeq lists it as uncharacterized. Lineage: Eukaryota; Metazoa; Arthropoda; Insecta; Hymenoptera; Eulophidae. The record is from RefSeq and is a predicted model, not a curated record. The transcript is spliced from 3 exons.